This 789-nucleotide ribosomal RNA is filed under the name Bacillus pumilus. Its description in RNAcentral is "bacterial SSU rRNA". It matches the Rfam family "Bacterial small subunit ribosomal RNA", at positions 366 to 1148 of the family's 1533-position model. The record is from RNAcentral. Lineage: Bacteria; Bacillati; Bacillota; Bacilli; Caryophanales; Bacillaceae.
CCGCAAUGGACGAAAGUCUGACGGAGCAACGCCGCGUGAGUGAUGAAGGUUUUCGGAUCGUAAAGCUCUGUUGUUAGGGAAGAACAAGUGCAAGAGUAACUGCUUGCACCUUGACGGUACCUAACCAGAAAGCCACGGCUAACUACGUGCCAGCAGCCGCGGUAAUACGUAGGUGGCAAGCGUUGUCCGGAAUUAUUGGGCGUAAAGGGCUCGCAGGCGGUUUCUUAAGUCUGAUGUGAAAGCCCCCGGCUCAACCGGGGAGGGUCAUUGGAAACUGGGAAACUUGAGUGCAGAAGAGGAGAGUGGAAUUCCACGUGUAGCGGUGAAAUGCGUAGAGAUGUGGAGGAACACCAGUGGCGAAGGCGACUCUCUGGUCUGUAACUGACGCUGAGGAGCGAAAGCGUGGGGAGCGAACAGGAUUAGAUACCCUGGUAGUCCACGCCGUAAACGAUGAGUGCUAAGUGUUAGGGGGUUUCCGCCCCUUAGUGCUGCAGCUAACGCAUUAAGCACUCCGCCUGGGGAGUACGGUCGCAAGACUGAAACUCAAAGGAAUUGACGGGGGCCCGCACAAGCGGUGGAGCAUGUGGUUUAAUUCGAAGCAACGCGAAGAACCUUACCAGGUCUUGACAUCCUCUGACAACCCUAGAGAUAGGGCUUUCCCUUCGGGGACAGAGUGACAGGUGGUGCAUGGUUGUCGUCAGCUCGUGUCGUGAGAUGUUGGGUUAAGUCCCGCAACGAGCGCAACCCUUGAUCUUAGUUGCCAGCAUUCAGUUGGGCACUCUAAGGUGA